This 443-nucleotide ribosomal RNA is filed under the name uncultured bacterium. RNAcentral describes it as "partial 16S ribosomal RNA". It matches the Rfam family "Bacterial small subunit ribosomal RNA", at positions 338 to 795 of the family's 1533-position model. The record is from RNAcentral.
CCUACGGGUGGCAGCAGUGGGGAAUAUUGGACAAUGGGGGGAACCCUGAUCCAGCGAUGCCGCGUGAGUGAAGAAGUAUUUCGGUAUGUAAAGCUCUAUCAGCAGGGAAGAAAGAAAUGACGGUACCUGACUAAGAAGCCCCGGCUAACUACGUGCAAGCAGCCGCGGCGAUACGUAGGGGGCAAGCGUUAUCCGGAUUUACUGGGUGUAAAGGGUGCGUAGACGGCGAUGCAAGUCUGAAGUGAAAGGGGGGGGGCCAACCCCCGGACUGCGUUGGAAACUGGAUGGCUGGAGUGCAGGAGAGGUAAGUGGAAGUCCGAGUGUAGCGGUGAAAUGCGUAGAUAGUAGGAGGAACACCAGUGGCGAAGGCGGCUUACUGGACUGUAACUGACGUUGAGGCUCGAAAGCGUGGGGAGCAAACAGGAUUAGAUACCCCUGUAGUC